ACACGUAGGGGCCUGACGUUGUUCGGAAUCAUUGGGCGUAAAGGGCGCGCAGGCGGCCGUCCAAGUCCGGUGUUAAAUGGUCGGGCUCAACCCGAUCAUGCGCUGGAAACUGGGCGGCUUGAGUCCCGUAGGGGAUGCCGGAAUUCCAGGUGUAGGGGUGAAAUCUGUAGAUAUCUGGAAGAACACCGAUGGCGAAGGCAGGUAUCUGGCCGGAGACUGACGCUGAGGCGCGAAGGCGCGGGGAGCGAACAGGUUUAGAUACCCUGGUAGUCCGCGCAGUAAACGAUGCGCACCAGGUGUCGGGCGGCAGCGCCCGGUACCGGAGCUAACGCGAUGAGUGCGCCGCCUGGGGAGUAUGCCCGCAAGGGUGAAACUCAAAGGAAUUGGCGGGG
RNAcentral lists this ribosomal RNA (392 nucleotides) under uncultured bacterium. RNAcentral's name for it is "partial 16S ribosomal RNA". It matches the Rfam family "Bacterial small subunit ribosomal RNA", at positions 523 to 918 of the family's 1533-position model. The record is from RNAcentral.